AGAUAGAGUGAGCUUUUACCCUUGCACGUUAUAGUUACUCAUUGUCUCCUAUUCCCAACAUUGUUAAUAUUCUUUUCUUUUCCUUUUGUUUAUCUGUUCUGCCGGAGGGUUAAUAUUUCAUGGAGUUGAAACUUGGAUUAUUGCAUUGAUCUUAUUAGGCAAAAAAAUGCUGCAUUUCCUUUAUUUAGCAUUCAGGAGCAAGAUCUUUGCACCUCUGCCUACUCUUCUCUUUCCUACUCUAUGCACAGCAGAGCCAAACCUAGAACAGCAGCCAAAGCUUCGGAUGGUCUGGAAUGUGGAUUAAGAGCUGUCUGCAUAGCUCAGAACCGGCCCAGAAGGAGGAAGAGAAAUAAUUCCUAAUGUUGUCAAGUCCAACUCUGAAAUGUCCAAAGCACUAUGGAGCCUCUGGAUGGAUGGAAGUGACAAAGUCCCUUCCUCAUUGUGAUUAUUGACAAACAACGUUUGCCUGUUUCAUCACCUUCUGCAGCCUGAAAAAUCAAGGAGAAGCUGGAAUUUGACAGUUAAAAAAUGAAAACAUGUUGAAACCUACCACGGCAUUAUCUGGAGUCCUCACUUCCUAAAAUGCAGCACCCCUGAUGGAACAAGUUGCACUCCAACCUAGCUUCUAUUGGUGCCUAAGCUACUUAUGAACUGUGACCACAUUUGGAAGAUGCAUGUAAUACUUUUUCAGUAGCCUAAAAUCAAAUGGCCCAUUAGGCUGCAUACUGGUGACCUUCAGAAAUAUUCAAUAGAGACGACCUUAGAGAGUGGAGGAAUUUAAUAGUGUGAUGCUUUCCACUAGGCAAAUAGACAUUGAAUAGAAGAAAGAUUUGCUUUAUGGUGGAAGGAAAAUUUAUCUGAUAGGCAAUUUCAGCAAUGUGGAAGCAUAGCCAGGAUUUCUCCAUAGUGACUGGCUCUCCACAAACUUACACAGCUGAUUAAGUUUGCCAUUGAGACCCGCAGACCCAUCCUCUGCUGCAUUCCUUACUUCCAGGAGCUCUGCAUUUCAGUCUACAGGGCACUGUCCUUGGAUACAUAUCUGUCAAAAGCUGCUCUUUUCUCUGAUGUGACUCUUCUAUGAUUCACUCCAGCCAGUUGCUCCCAUCACCUUUCUCCAUCUUUCACUCCAAAUGCAACCAACUGGCCAAGUAUUAUUGUUUUCUAGCUUUAUUCCCCUGUGCUUAGAGAUCAUACUUUUUAGGAUGUUGAUACUUUGAAUUUUGUUGAAAAUUGCUUUAUAUCCCAGCAGCAUAUAAUCAAUUUUGACAAAUGUUCCAUGUGGACUUAAAAAGAAUGUGCAUUCUGCAGCUGCUGGAUACAGUGCUGUGCUAAAAAUCCCCAACUCUAACUAUGGAUUUGUCUAUUUCUCCUUUCAUUUCUGUCAGUGUUUGCUUUAGAUAUUUUGAAGCUAUAUUAUUGGGUACAUAAAAAUUUAGAAUUGUUUUAUGGUCCUGUUGGACUGACUCUUCUGUCAUUAUAAAAUAUUUCUCUUUAUCUCUUAUCUACUUUAUGCAAUAACCAUAUACCGACAUCCUUGGUCUUUUAUUUAAGGUAUGCAUGUUGGAUUAUAUCUUAUAAUCCUCUUACUUUUAAUCUUUCUGUAUCUUUAUACUUAAAGUGUGUUUCUUAUAAGCAAUAGUUUUUAAGUCUAAUUUCACAAUCUUUCUCUUUUAAAUGGAAUAAGUCUACAUAUUCAUAUUUAAUGAUAUAUUUGAGUUUAAAUCUGUUAUUCUACAAUUUAUUUUCUAUUAUUAGCCCACCUCUGUUUGUUUCUUUUUAUCCCUUUCUUGCCUUUUUUUGACCAAUCAAGUAUUUUUAUUGAUCUGUUUUAUCCCUCUAUUGGCUUGUUAGUUAUAUGAUCUUUUACUAUUUUUAAAUGUUACCCUCAAAAUCACAGCAUUUAUUCAUGAUUUAGAAUAUAAUAUACAUUAAUAUUUUACCACUGUUUGUAAAAUUCAAGGUCUUUAGAACACUUUAACUCUAUUUAUUCCCUCUGUAUUCUAUUUUAUAAAGUAGGCCUUUGAAAUUAUUUACACUUCCCUGUUUCUUUAUUGUUGUUACUCAUCUGUUAUGACAUCACAUCCUUUUAUGUGCUUAUAUUUUGCUUUAUCUUUCUGUUAUUUAGCAUACAAUUUAAAGUAAUUUUUUCAAGGAUUUCUGAUGGGAUGUUCUCAAGCCUCUGAAUGUCUCAAAUUGGCCUUCUCUUGCAUUUCCACAUAAAUAACAAGUUCUCUGAAUAUAAAAGAUAGCAUUCACAAACUUGAACCCUUAUUGAUAAUCUGAUUUUGUUUUAAAUCAUGAGACUUAAAGGAGUAUUUUUUAAAUGGUAAUUCAAAUAUUUUCCAGUUUUUGUCUCGAGGGUCUUUUCUCAUUGGUUUUACCUGUUACAGUUCUCUAUUUAUUUAUUUGUCUAUGCCUUUAAGUGCCAAGCCCUAUGCCAAGGAUAUAACAAUGAAAGAUAUAAUCACUGCUUUCAAGUAUGCUCGGGGUUUAGAUAAAUAAAAUACUCAUUAAAAUUUAAUAGGUUAAGGACCAUAAUGUGGGAAAGAUAAGGCAGCAUGGGCUCACGGAAGAAGAACACAAAGUCCAGAUGAGAGUCUCAGGUAAGGCCUCCUGGAAGAAGAUGCAGGAUCUUCUACACCACAAUAAUUUCUGGACAGUAUUAUUAUUAUUAUUACUUUAAAUCUAGCCUCUGCCUCUCUGAAAACAGCCAUGAUCAUAAUUGUAAUAAACAUAUCUUUGUGCCCAUGGCUGGGACUCCCUCCUAGUUGGCCUGAGAAAGCCUAUUUAUCUUCUCAACCAGUUAGUCCAGGAGAAAGUUACAACUGCAGGAGGAAUUGUAAUUUAAUAUUAUUCGUGGUAACUAAUGGCUGGAAGAUUGCUCAUUGGUCUCAGUACAGCCAGUUGACUGAGUUAGGGCUUUUGAGGAAUUGGUGUUGGGAAAUUCUAACGCAGAACCCAUAGUUGGCCUCUUCAAGCACAGUGUGAUAAACGACUUGAAUGACAUUUUCAAAUACUCUUGGAGGCAGCCAAGCAUGACAUCUUAGCUUGAACAUUUUUCACCUUCCUCUCCCAGCAAUGCUUGUUUACAAAGAUUGAUGAGGCUAAAACAAAUAAUAAAAAUUAUUAUUUGUCUUAAUUUAGUUUUUCCCAGAAGAAGACCUUGAGACAAGGUUUCAAGUGCAAGUUGUGAAUUUGGAAGGUGCAGAGAACACCAGCAUUGAAGUGAGGCAGUGAGACAGGGAUGGGAAGGGAGCCAGUAAAGGGUUCAUUCUUAGGACAGCUACUACAAAGGGCAACCAGAGCUUCAUCUCUAGUGGAGACCUCUGAUUGCAAGUGUAGAGCACAUGCCUUAGAGUUUUCUCACCCAAGAAGCAGAAGAUCUAGGAUAGCUGUACAGUAGUUCUGGGCAGACCAUGGUUGAGGUCUGCUCCCAGAAGAGUUGAUACCAGCCCUUGCAGCUGCCCUACGAUGAGUGUGGGUAGAGUGGCCUUCAGGGAAUUUAGAGAGAACCCUCACACAGAAUAGAGAUACUGGCAGUCAAGAGUGGGAAGGGGCUCUGUGAAGUAGUAAGGCCUAAGUGCUAUGGACAGGGCCAGUGUCUGCUCCUGGUUCUUCAUGCUGUUUGUCCAAUGCACACCAAUCCCCGUAAAAUAACUUCUGGGAUUUAAAAAAAAAUCCCACUUUCUGGAUCCUUGAAGCAAAACAAACAAACAAAACAUGUUUGAAAAGCUCAAGCUAAAUCAUCUCUUCCCUCCUCCUGGAACAUCCAGCAACUCAGGGCAAUCCAACAUGGUCCCCAGGGCCAUCUUUUCUUACCUAGCCUGCCUCUCCUGGGGAUAAUUAACUUCACUGCCUUUGGCAUAGCCCAUUUUUCAACCAAACAGUUUGAGGGGGAAAAAAUUUAUUAUUUCAUGGAGCAAACAGUUACUGAGCAGCUCCUCUGUUCUCCCAGCAGGGCCGUUAAACACAGUAGUUAUAGUACUUUGUGUUUUUUUGCCAUUCACAAGCAGCUUCCUCCCUCCUGCAAAUUCCCAUCACAACAAAUCUGUGGUCAUGCACAGCCACUCCACUACUCUUAGGCCUAAGCCUAACUAUGGGUUCUACCCUUAGAAUUUCCCAACACUAAUUCCUCAAACUUUCAUAUUUGUCAUCAUAAAGUAUAUAAAAAUGAUGACAUGAAUGAUUGAAACAAUAUAAUUAGUAAACUAUAAUUAAUAACUAUUUCAAACUUUGUCUUAUGCAGUUAUUAUUUAUCUUAUAAAGCAUAUUGUAUUUGCGUUGCAAAAUACAGUUUCCUGCUAAUUAGCCACAGGAUAUUAAAAAGUAUUGAAAAAUGUAGUCAGGCAUGAGAAAAAUAAUAACAAAAAUCAUAAGUCAGAAAGAUGAAUAUAUGCAAUCUAUGUUCUCAAAGGAAAGUAUAACAACUGGAAACAACAACAAAAGAUUAAACAAAUUUUAUGAAUACUCUUUUGAAUAAAUUUCUGAUUAAUGAGGAAAUAAAGGGAUUUGAAAACAGCUAAUUGAAAAAUAAUGAGAAUCAGAAUAAUUCACAUUUAAGAUUAUGGAAUAUGCGUAAAGUUGUUCUCAAUAAAUUGUAGUAUUAAAUGCAUGUUACAUUUUUAAAAGUAAAAGCAAGAGAAAAUAAUUUCAACUAAAAAGUGAAGAAAAAAGGAACAAAGGAAGCAGAAAUAAAUAUAUUAAAAUAUAAAAACAAAAAGUAAAAUUAGCAGCAGGAAAACGCACAAUGGCAUGAAUAGAUAGUGAAUCUCAGAGAACGUCUUUGAAAAGAAUCAGUAAAAUGGCCCAGCUGCUGGAAAAUCUAAUUUUAAAAUGCCAUAAUCAAAAUGAAAAAAGGAAAGAAAAAAAUGGCUAGAACUUAUAUAAAAGUUUUUAAAAAUUACAGUAUAAUUAAGUGCUUUUAUUUUGAAAAUCAUUUAAGAUGGAAAUUGUAUUAAGAAAUUUAGAUGACUAGAAUUGACUCAAUUGGAAUCACAUGGUUAAAUCACUUAAGGAAGAAAUUAAGAAAGUUAAAGAAUUAUUCUCUCACCCCAAAGAAGGUGAUUGUAGGCUGAAACAUUAUAAAGCAAUGGCAAUUAAAACUGGUUCUGGGGAUGGAAUAGACAGAUUGGGCCAGCUAGAAUGCUUUGGCAGCAAGAAACAGAAAAAUCUGCUUGAAAUUAAUUGAAACAUUAAGGAAAUAUAUUACCUUAUGUUAUCAGGAAGUCCACAGGUUGGUGGCUCCAAGCAGCACAUAAUCAAUGCCUCGAGGAUGUCACCAAGAAGCCCAGUUCCUACCAGGUCUCCACUUAGCAUCCUGACCGUGCUGGCCCUGGGCAUGGUUGCAAAGUAACUGUGGCAGUUUCAGGCAUCAUAUCCAGACAUGAUAAGAUCUGCAGAAAGGAAGAGUCUGCAUCUUCCUUGGGGUUCCAUUUAAGGGUGAGAGACUUUUGCCCUAUGCCAGCAGAUAUUGCCUCACAUCUCAAUGGCCAGCAACGGGUCACACAUCCAUCCCUAAAAUCUUUGGCAAGGGAGUGCCUUAACCAUGGUUAGAUAAUUAAAGACAUUGGGUAUUGAAUUAUUCAAACCAAUACACAGAUUGUUAGAAUGAAGACUCCAUGUCCGCUCUUGGUGUGUUUCAGGAGUGUUUUAAACUUUUCCUCAUGUAAGUUUACAUGAUUCUUGUGAAGUUUAUAUUUAGAUAUUUAUAUUUUCUGUUGCUAAUAAAAACAAAAGCAUCUAUGCCACUACAUUUUCCAACUCAUUGCUGUUGUUAUAUAUGAAAGCUAUAGAUUCCUACGUAUUAAUUUUUAUAGCCCAUUUAUUUGCUGCAGUCUCUUUUUGUUUGUAAAGAUUUUCAGUCGAUUCUUUUAGAUUUUCCAGGCCAUAUUAUCCACAAAUAGGGAGAAUUUAACCUUCUUUUUCCCAGUGUUUAUAAAUGAAGUAUCAUGCUUUUGUCCAAUAAAAGUGGCAAAUACUUCCAGCACAAUAUUAAAUGGAAAAGGUAAUAAUGAGCAUCCUUACUGUGUUCCUAAUUCUACUGUUUACAAAUUUCUUUUUAAAAAGUGUUUUAAGAAUGGGUCAAAUGCCUUUUCAGCAUCAAUAUGUUAAAAAUUUUCUCCUAAAAUCUAUUAAUAUGUUGUAUUAGUCUGUUUUCACACUGCUAUAAAAAAUACCCAAGACUGGGUAAUUUAUAAAGGAAAGAGGCUUAAUUGAGUCACAGUUCCACAUGGCUGGGGAGGCCUCAGGAAACUUGCAAUCAUGGCAGAAGGGGAAGCAAGACAAGUCUUACACGGCAGCAGGAGAGACUAGGGCAAGGGGGAACUUCCAAACACUUUCAAAACAUCAGCUCUCAUGAGAACUUCCUCACUAUCAAGAGAACAGCAUGGGGGAAACUGUUGCCAUGAUUCAAUCACCUCCCACCAGGUCCCUCCCUCAAUACCUGGGGAUUACAAAUGGAGAUGAGAUUUGGGUGGGGACACAAAGUGAAACCAUAUCAUAUGCUGACUUGUAAUGAAUACCUUUCCUAAUACUAAUCUAUCCUGGCAUUUCUGAAAUGGAAACUUUGUGGUCCUGCUACUAGUCUUUUAAUGAGCUGUUUGAAUCUAAUUGCUGUUGUUAUAUUUACAACUGUAAUAUGUAUAUUUGCAAGUGAGAUUAACAUGUAGGUUUUUUUGUACAAUUUUUGUUACAUGUUGGUGUCAACGUUAUCCACCUUAUAUAAAAAAUUUUGCAACUUUUUAUAUGUCCUGGAAAAGUUCAAAUAGCAUUGUAAUAACCUAUCCUAUGGAAGCUUAGUAAUAAUUCUUAUGUGAAACUAUCUGGGCUGAUAUAUAUGUUCUAUGAGUUGAUGGAGGCUUAUUCUUUAAAUACUUUAUUUCUCUAAUGAAAACUUGUCCAUAUAGUUUUGUUUCAUGUAAUCAUUGUGUUUCUUCUGGAAUUAAUUUUAGUAAAUUAUAUCUUCCAAGAAAAUUAUUUAUUACAUCCAAGUUUUAGAAUUUCAUUCACAUUUGCAUAUUGAAAACCUACUUGUAUAGAAUUGUACAAAUAGCCUUAUUUUUUAAAAUUAUUAAGUUGUUGAGGUUAUUUUCUUUUGCCUUUUCUUAUUGUUUGUGCUUCCUCCCUUUUGCUUGAUUAAAUUUACUGCUUGUCAAUCUAUUUCAUUCAUUUUUUAAGAGAAAUAGAUCCUAAUUUGUUAAUUCUACAAUUCUUCUAAUGCAUUGAUUUUUGCUUCCAUCACUAUAAAAUUCUUCCUUCUUCUUUUAGUUUAUUUUGUGUUUUCUCC
Molecule: long non-coding RNA, 7285 nt
Filed under: Homo sapiens (human)
Lineage: Eukaryota; Metazoa; Chordata; Mammalia; Primates; Hominidae
Description: non-protein coding lnc-ADRA1D-4:2
Source: RNAcentral